GACGAACGCUGGCGGCGUGCCUAAUGCAUGCAAGUUGAGCGCUGAAGGUUGGUACUUGUACCGACUGGAUGAGCAGCGAACGGGUGAGUAACGCGUGGGGAAUCUGCCUUUGAGCGGGGGACAACAUUUGGAAACGAGUGCUAAUACCGCAUAAAAACUUUAAACACAAGUUUUAAGUUUGAAAGAUGCAAUUGCAUCACUCAAAGAUGAUCCCGCGUUGUAUUAGCUAGUUGGUGAGGUAAAGGCUCACCAAGGCGAUGAUACAUAGCCGACCUGAGAGGGUGAUCGGCCACAUUGGGACUGAGACACGGCCCAAACUCCUACGGGAGGCAGCAGUAGGGAAUCUUCGGCAAUUGACGAAAGUCUGACCGAGCAACGCCGCGUGAGUGAAGAAGGGUUUCGGAUCGUAAAACUCUGUUGGUAGAGAAGAACGUUGGUGAGAGUGGAAAGCUCAUCAAGUGACGGUAACUACCCAGAAAGGGACGGCUAACUACGUG
RNAcentral lists this ribosomal RNA (497 nucleotides) under uncultured bacterium. RNAcentral describes it as "partial 16S ribosomal RNA". It matches the Rfam family "Bacterial small subunit ribosomal RNA", at positions 28 to 507 of the family's 1533-position model. The record is from RNAcentral.